CAGCCUGUUCUGUUUCCUCCUUCAAUAUACUUCUGUUUCCAGGUUUUCCUACUAUGUGAAAAACAAAAGACAUAAAGGAACCACUUCCUGUCUUCAGGAAUCAUGUGAUUUCCAUGAGGAAAGUGUAGCAUUGUGCAAGCAAAGAAAAAAAGUAAAUGCUGAAGUGAAUCCUGUGUGACACCGACAUCGAGGACUACAAUUGCGUUUGCUCAGCAGUGGGGAGAAGUGGUCUCUUGGCUUAAGCUAAUGAAGUGUUACGAAAAGAGAGAGAGAGACCUAGAUUCAAGUCCUAACUCAGCCUUUUCCUGGUUCUGUGACUGCCAGGAAAUCAUUCUGACAGAUUUAAGCCUCAUCCGGGCUCAAAGCCAAGGACUCAUGUUCUCGAUUUUUUGUUCCAUCAGUACCUCAGUUCCAGGUGUGAAUUUUUAUUUCAGUUAUUGUUAUGGAACAAGGCACCCUCAAACUUAGUGGAUUAAAUUAGAACCAUCCUGUC
Long non-coding RNA from Odocoileus virginianus texanus, 493 nucleotides. RefSeq lists it as uncharacterized. NCBI's taxonomy places the organism in Eukaryota, Metazoa, Chordata, Mammalia, Artiodactyla, Cervidae. The record is from RefSeq and is a predicted model, not a curated record.